GUGAAUUUCCUCUACAAUUAACUUUCUGGUACAUUCAACACCUUUGUGAAAUGUUUCUAAACUGAAUAGGAAAAAAUUUCCAAGAAUAAAACAAAGUUGUAGGAUUGUCAAACCUCUACUUUCUAGUCCUGCAGUAGUGGAAGGUUAUGGCAGUUACCAACCAUGAAGUGCCUAGGUAGCUGGAGAAACACAAUUCUUGAAUUUUAGUUUUAUUUCAAUGCUCAUCAUCUGUAUUUACUGUUGCAACUUUAGAUACAAAACAAAUGAAAUGUUUACCUUCUCAAAAUACAUGUAGAAAUCCUCCCAAAUAAAGCAACUAUUGUAAAUGCAUACACAAGAUGAAGGCAUUGACUGAGGCUGUUUAUCUAACGAACACAUCUUAAGCUUGAGAUUUAUUAGAAUUUCUUCGUGUUGAGCAUGCAAAGGUUUUAACUACCAUUUAAAGUACUUACGCUAUUGUAAAUACAC
Molecule: long non-coding RNA, 468 nt
Filed under: Phaseolus vulgaris (common bean)
Lineage: Eukaryota; Viridiplantae; Streptophyta; Magnoliopsida; Fabales; Fabaceae
Description: long non-coding RNA (PVUL_LNC004798)
Source: RNAcentral